AACCUAGCACACCUGCGGUGUGUACCUGCGGAGGGAUCAUUACCGAGUUUACAACUCCCAAACCCCUGUGAACAUACCUAUAAUUUGCCUCGGCGGACUCAACGACGGUGCUCCGAGAAAUCGGGCGCCGCUCGCUGCCAGAGGAACCCCAAACUCUAUGUAUUCUUGUGGAUCUUCUGAGUAAAACAAAACAAAUAAAUCAAAACUUUCAACAACGGAUCUCAGAUCGGAAGAGCACAC
This 240-nucleotide unclassified non-coding RNA is filed under the name soil metagenome. Its description in RNAcentral is "partial contains 5.8S ribosomal RNA, internal transcribed spacer 2, and large subunit ribosomal RNA". The record is from RNAcentral.